GUUUGUCUUUUCUUGCAUAGAAAUGAUUUACUAGUGUUCAGUGUUGCAUGGCGUUACAGUACGGAUGAGUUUGUGUCAACUGCCAUGGGCCGCAAUGACACAUUUUUAUGGCAGAUUGUUGGUGACAGCCAUAAACCGCCAUCCGCCAUUGAUAAUGUGCCAUUGCAGCCUACAGUCUCUAGUAUAAAGAAUGCCAAUAGUGGCUGCAAUUGAAUAAUUGAUAAAAGCAUUUUUUAUAAUAGGCCACUGAAUAAUUCUGCAGUGCCCCACUCUUCAUUUAAAACAGUAAACCUGAAUUACUUAUUAUUAUGACAUCAUUUGUUUUAUUAAAGGCUUAAAUAGGUCUUUCGCCCUUGCAAAUAUAGGUCAUUUGAAUUUUCGUCCCUGAAGUUAUUAAUCAUUCCAAUCUGCCACUACAAAAUUUAAUCAUUUAACUUUUGGUCAUAAUUAGGUUUUUUUGCUGAGGUGGGCUGUCAUUAGCGACAUGGUGCCCAUGUGGCAAGUGAUGAUUGGGCGAGGUGGUUGGCUUAAAUAGGUCUUUCGUCCCUGCAAAUUUAGGUCAUUUGAAUUUUCGUCCCUGAAGUUACUAAUCAGAUGUAAUUAGGAC
Molecule: long non-coding RNA, 607 nt
Filed under: Medicago truncatula (barrel medic)
Lineage: Eukaryota; Viridiplantae; Streptophyta; Magnoliopsida; Fabales; Fabaceae
Description: long non-coding RNA (MTRU_LNC003258)
Source: RNAcentral